AAAGAAAAUGAAAAGGAACGAUAAGUGAAACAUGGGCAAUGAUUUAGUUGCUUGAAAAAAGCACAUUAAUCAUCCGACAGCUCAGCUGUACUGCAGUGAAAGUUCUUUUCUCAUGUUGUGGUGAACCUGGGGAUCAGUGCUGGGAAGCGGAGCUGGAGCAGGGCUGGCAGCAAUAUUUAGGAGCAGCAACUGCUCGAGUUCAUUAAGAAACCGAGUACUAAAAAACCACAACUUCCUCAUGGACCCGUAAAUACCCAUUUUAGCUGCCGGUUUAAUCACCCGCAAAGACACUGCCUGAAUCUUUUCAAGCCCGGUGUAUCUGAAGUUUUGGGAGCGGUUGUGAAUAAAUACUUCACUGCCUGCUCACAGCGACGUUUCUUCGGCGUUAGCUCAUUAGAGUGCCUGAAAGAGACCCGACAGAAAAUAAGUUAAAUGCAACUAAAAUCGUCAUCCGCUUCGACUCUAAGAACAACGAGAAAGGCGAGGCAUUCACCAAAAAGUUGCAAAAGGCGUUUCAGCUGCACCGCAGCUAUUAGGAGCGCGGGGAAAGGGACUGAGGGAUGUGAGCGGGCAGUGUGUCUGGGAUCCCAGUCCUCAGUUGUUGAAGGGUUUUUUUUUUCCUUUAUUUCGCGGUUGGGUUUUUUUGUUUGGUUGGUCGGGUUUUUUUGCCUUUUAUGUUUGGUUGGUUUUUUUGUUUGGUUGGGAUUUUUGGGGGGGUGUUUAUUUGUUUGUUUGUUUGUUUUUUCGUGGGGCUGAUGCUUUGGUUUUUUGAUGGUGGUUUGUUUUUUGUUUUUUGGGGUUUUUUUGGGGGGUGGGGGGGAGUUGGUGACUCCAAAAGAUGUCACGGCAAAGUGAAAUCAUUGCAGAGGGCUGCUCAUGCAUUCAGCCUGUAGAGUUUUCAAAAUGUGAUGUUUUGCAAUGAUGACAUUAGAGUAGCAACCAAGGGUCCAAGACAGCAACGCCUGCUGCAGCUGGGCUUCGCUUUGAAAUGCCCAAGACAAUGGGGGCCACUGUUCUCCAUCGCUUCGCCUUUCCAUUCCAUUUACAUAGUCUGUUCUGCCUGAUUGACCAGCUUGGGCUGUCCAAGGGACCAGCAUUGUUCACAGAUCACUUCAAGAUGGCACAGAUGACAAGAUUCAGACUUCACCUUCCCCGGGUACGAUGAGAGCCGUGCCACUGGAAACCUUUGCAAACCACAGUUUCCUCAAUAAAAUCAUAAGACUUUAAUAAAUAAA
Molecule: long non-coding RNA, 1235 nt
Organism: Columba livia (rock pigeon)
Lineage: Eukaryota; Metazoa; Chordata; Aves; Columbiformes; Columbidae
Exons: 2
Source: RefSeq, a predicted model, not a curated record